This 680-nucleotide ribosomal RNA is filed under the name Bacillus sp. (in: firmicutes). Its description in RNAcentral is "bacterial SSU rRNA". It matches the Rfam family "Bacterial small subunit ribosomal RNA", at positions 110 to 744 of the family's 1533-position model. The record is from RNAcentral. Lineage: Bacteria; Bacillati; Bacillota; Bacilli; Caryophanales; Bacillaceae.
GUAAUCACGUGGGCGACCAUGCCUGUAAGACUGGGGAUAACUCCGGGAAACCAGGGGCUAAUACCGGAUAAUAUCUAUUUAUACAUCAUAGAGUUACGAUUGAAGAGAUGGUGUGCUGCUACUCAUCUUAUCUAGUAUGAGGCCACGCGGCGCAUUAGUCUAGUUGGUGAGGUAACAGGCUCACUCAAGGCGACGAUGCGUAGCCGACCUGAGAGGGUGAUCGGCCACACUGGGACUGAGACACGGCCCAGCACUCCUACGGGAGGCAGCAGUAGGGAAUACUUCCGCAAUGGACGAAAGAUACUGACGAGAGCAACGCCGCGUGAGUAGAUGAAGAGUUGUUCGGAUGCAGUAAAACUCUGUUGUUAGGGAAGAACAACGUACCGGAGUAACUGCCGGUACCUUGACGGUACCUAACCAGAAAGCCACGGCUAACUACGUGCCAGCAGCCGCGGUAAUACGUAGGUGGCAAGCGUUGUCCGGAAUUAUUGGGCGUAAAGCGCGCGCAGGCGGUUCUUUAAGUCUGAUGUGAAAGCCCACGGCUCAACCGUGGAGGGUCAUUGGAAACUGGGGAACUUGAGUGCAGAAGAGGAAAGUGGAAUUCCAAGUGUAGCGGUGAAAUGCGUAGAGAUUUGGAGGAACACCAGUGGCGAAGGCGACUUUUCUGGUCUGUAACUGAC